UACGGGGGGGGCAAGCGUUGUUCGGAAUUACUGGGCGUAAAGGGUUCGUAGGUGGCUUGUUAAGUCAGACGUGAAAUCCCUCGGCUCAACCGGGGAACUGCGUCUGAGACUGAUGAGCUCGAGUGCAGGAGAGGAACGCGGAAUUCCAGGUGUAGCGGUGAAAUGCGUAGAUAUCAGGAGGAACACCGGUGGCGAAGGCGGGUCUCUGGGCCGAUACUGACGCUGAGGAGCGAAAGCGUGGGGAGCGAACAGG
Molecule: ribosomal RNA, 253 nt
Filed under: uncultured bacterium
Lineage: Bacteria
Description: partial 16S ribosomal RNA
Rfam family: Bacterial small subunit ribosomal RNA
Source: RNAcentral